AUUGCUCCUUUGUUUUUAUUAUUUCAGUAAACACAGAAAAAGCUUGGGAUGUUCUCCUAGAAAAUACAUUUCAGAGGCUUCCUACCUUACACAUGUUGUGCCCUAUAUCAACAUAAACUACAGAAACUAGUUUUUUCAAAGGUAGACCUUUUUCCCCCCUUUUGCUCUUUGCUCUGACGACACACAAAACAAUUGUUAAUAAAGAUCUAGGUAUCAAGUGAAGAAAAACGGUACACUCUAUGCAUUUAAGCAGCAAUAUAUUCAAGCUAGUAUGUUGAGAGUACUUCAAGAAAUUAUACACAAACUCCACUGGAUUUCAGGAAGAGAUAAAUACCCUUCCCCAAGUAAAAACACCAACUGCAACAGUCUCGUUUCUCUUCUUAACUGAUGGGUCCAGAUCUGCUAACAAAUGUAACUAAUUAGUUUAAUACUCAGCUAAUGCAAGCUAAAAGAAUACAGAAACAUACUUUUAAUAACUGUAGCGACAAAUACUUUGAAUUCAUACAUACCACUGAUGGGGCCAAUGGAAUUGCUCAUAGCAUAUCGCAGAAUUUGUUCAUCUCUGUUAUACAGAACAAAUAUACUGUCCACUGAGAGCUGCUGAGUAGCAGAAGCAGCAUGGAGAGAGUCAUCAUGAAUGCAUUCAUCAAAGGAGAUGGUCUGUCGCCACUGAUAGGCACCAGUGUACGUGGAAGCAACCCCAUCCCUUUCUGGCUCUGUCACUGUGUACUCUCUGGUGGACGAUGAAGUGAUCACAGAACUAGAGGCGUGAUAGAGUUCAGUGUAAGGUUCAAUAUGGACUGAUGCGCCAGAAGGGACCUCAGGUACUCUGCCUUCCAUUUCUGUGCUGAUGGUAAGAUGACCGUGCUCAUCAAUUCCACUGAACUUCUGCUUUAUAACCAGCUUCUCGUUGUUGCCAAGAAAAGUGACUUCAGUUUGCCGUGUAAACUCCCCACCGGUAAUGCUGAAUCCAUUUUUAUAUCCUUGCUGCUCCACAGCAAAC
This 1003-nucleotide long non-coding RNA is filed under the name Gallus gallus (chicken). Lineage: Eukaryota; Metazoa; Chordata; Aves; Galliformes; Phasianidae. The record is from RNAcentral.